Molecule: long non-coding RNA, 1880 nt
Organism: Pogona vitticeps (central bearded dragon)
Lineage: Eukaryota; Metazoa; Chordata; Lepidosauria; Squamata; Agamidae
Source: Ensembl
AUAAAACUGACAGCCCCUGAGAGAAGAGAAAGCAAGGGAAGGCAAGGUAAUUUUAAAAUAAAGACCCAGUAUAGGAAUGGACGGACAGUCGUGGGAGGGGGUGGUUACAUGGGGGGGGAAGCGGCAGCUUUUGAAGAAAGGGCCCCUGAGAGAAGCUCCCUUUUUUUCUUUGGGGAAAUGAAGCAGGGGUUCGAGCAACUCCUCGAAGAGUCCCCUUAAAAGGGGAUGAUUCAGCCUUAGGGAUACUGACUUUGUCUUUCUGGGCCCCCAAAGUGGCUCCCAAUUUCAGGCAAUCCUAACAGGAUUUUUGGGGCCCGUGAGAUGCUCAGAAAGAGCUUUUACCUUUGGCAUUUCCCCCAACAACCAGGGAGUUCCCCUGUCUGAGCCGGAAUUCGAACCCAGGCCUCCCGAGCCCUAGGUUGAUGCUCUGCCCACCACCACCUAUUGAGGGCCGGGCCGUGUGAAGCCGCUCCAAACUUUUCAGGAAGCAUUCCCAAGGCUCACCCCCAAAGCCGGCUCUGGCAGCUCGGGCAGUGGCAGCAAAGUUCACACCAAAAAGCGAAAUGGAUAGACUGGCAAUCGACCUCCACCACCUCUUUGUCUCAGAAGGCAUCCGGGAAAGAUUUAGCCUUCUCUUACAGUAUCUCCCCCCACACACACACACCCACUUUGGCCCACUCUACCUUACAAGGUUGUUUUCAUGGGGUUGAAAUCAGAAAGGAGGAGAAGAACCGGAUAACAUGGCCUCCCCUCCGUAAGGCAAGGGUGGGGGAGAUGCUUUUAUGAGACUGCAAACAUACGUUAGCUUUCAACCUCACACAGAUUGCCAAGGUGGGAUGUCAGAAAUGCUAAAACGUAAGCAAUACAGCCUUAACAACAAGGUUUGCAAUUUUCAGUCUAUUCUUUGCCUGUAAACCUGCCAAAUAAGAUUUCCGCUUACAGGUGGUGUCGCCAAAUGAUUUAUAUUACCUCGUGUUGUACGACACCUCGUAGAGUAUGAAUAUUCCUCUGGUCUGGUGUUUGCUUCUUCAGAGGUGCCUGGGCUACAACUCCCAUUCGCCUUAUCCAGCAAAGAAAGAUGGGAACUGCAAUCCAGAAACAGACGGAGAACCACACCCUCUCCAGCCCAUCAAGCACUAUCAGGGGGGCUGAGACCUACCAUCACCGUGCCCAUCCGGCAUAAUGGGAACAGGCGCCGCAUCGUAAGUCCUGAAUUAAGGGUCCACCAGUUGGAGCUCAAGAAACUUCCACGGAACUGCUUAGGAAGCAAUCAGAGGCAGUUCUCCUUCAUGAAAGCCUGUUUGGGUAAGAAAAAAAGAAGAGAGGAAGAAGGGGGGAAAAAGGGUGGGGGAAAUCAGCCUACUCUUGGAAGGAAGAAAGGAAGGAAGGAAGGAAGACAACUAGGCAGGGGUAGGUUCUCACCAGAACCAUUGAAAUUAGUGGGGUGAGUUUUUUCAAUGACAAUUCCCAGAAUCCCACAAACAGUUCCAUGUCCCAGAAUCCUCCAGAAAACCACCUGGGGAGUUCUGGGAUAUGUAGGUACUACAAAACCAAGCCCCUAAUCGGCUUUCUGCUCCUUCUCACUAGAGAGAAGAGCAGUUUUAGCACUCUGGGAUUUCGGCUCAGCCUGGCUGCUACUUUGUGUGCACAGUUCCCACCUUCUCCAGACAAGAAAUCCCUUUUGAAAGGGAACACAUCAAGUUUCUAGUCCUUAAGGGUCCCUAUUUUUCAUACUUGUGACAGAUUUCCCCGCCCCUCCUCCCUUCCUUCUCCUUCUGCUGGUGGAAGGAGAGGAAAAACAAUCAUGGAUGACCUUGCAUGAAUUCCCCACCAUUGUGCAAGGCGGGCUUACAUAACUGCUGUUCUUCACUGCAGAAGGU